AACGCGAAGAACCUUACCUGGGCUCGAAAUGCAGAGGGCGAUACCAGAAAUGGUAUUUUCCGAAAGGACUUCUGUAUAGGUGCUGCAUGGCUGUCGUCAGCUCGUGCCGUGAGGUGUUGGGUUAAGUCCCGCAACGAGCGCAACCCUUACUCUUAGUUGCCACCCGCAAGGGGGAACUCUAAGAGGACUGCUCCGGAUAACGGAGAGGAAGGUGGGGAUGAGGUCAAGUCAGCAUGGCCUUUAUGUCCAGGGCGACACACGUGUUACAAUGCGCGCUACAAUGCGUCGCGAACCCGCGAGGGGGAGCUAAUCGCAAAAAAGCGCGCUCAGUUCGGAUUGCAGUCUGCAACUCGACUGCAUGAAGCUGGAAUCGCUAGUAAUGGCGCAUCAGAACGGCGCCGUGAAUACGUUCCCGGGCCUUGUACACACCGGAGUA
Molecule: ribosomal RNA, 436 nt
Filed under: uncultured bacterium
Lineage: Bacteria
Description: bacterial SSU rRNA
Rfam family: Bacterial small subunit ribosomal RNA
Source: RNAcentral